AAGUCGUAACAAGGUCUCCGUAGGUGAACCUGCGGAGGGAUCAUUAACAAAUCUACACACAUAUCCUGUGCAACUGUCUGUUCCUGGGAGGUGGUGGUAUUCAUUGCCACCACCUCCCAGGGACAUCAUCACAAACACACACUUUGUCAGUCAGUAUGAUACGCAUACAUAUGCAAUCAAUCUACAAACAACUUUUAACAAUGGAUCUCUUGGCUCUU
RNAcentral lists this unclassified non-coding RNA (218 nucleotides) under fungal sp. RNAcentral describes it as "partial internal transcribed spacer region". The stretch from base 1 to 46 matches the Rfam family "Eukaryotic small subunit ribosomal RNA", at positions 1786 to 1831 of the family's 1831-position model. The record is from RNAcentral. Lineage: Eukaryota; Fungi.